Molecule: long non-coding RNA, 298 nt
Filed under: Rattus norvegicus (Norway rat)
Lineage: Eukaryota; Metazoa; Chordata; Mammalia; Rodentia; Muridae
Description: long non-coding RNA NONRATT017919
Source: RNAcentral
AGCCACCUACGACUUCAAGAUGGCUGACCUGCAGCAGGUGGCCCCAGAGGCCACUGUGCGUCGCUUCCUUCAGGGCCGCCACUGUGAGCAGAGCUCUGACUGCAUCUAUGGGCGAGACUGCAGGGCGCCAUGUGACAAGCUCCGGCCACUUGGGCUCUGCUGUGGGUGGAACUCCCACAGGCUAUCUACCCCCCUGCAAUCAAGUCUCCCCACUCAUCCCAGCUCAGCAGGAGUCCCUGUCAGAGGCUGGCCCACUGGGGCCAUUCCUCUGAAUAUGUAAAUAAAUGGCUCUUAUGUG